RNAcentral lists this ribosomal RNA (480 nucleotides) under uncultured bacterium. RNAcentral describes it as "partial 16S ribosomal RNA". It matches the Rfam family "Bacterial small subunit ribosomal RNA", at positions 28 to 523 of the family's 1533-position model. The record is from RNAcentral.
GACGAACGCUGGCGGCGUGCUUAACACAUGCAAGUCGAGCGAUGAAACACCUUCGGGUGCGGAUUAGCGGCGAACGGGUGAGGAACACGUGAGGAAUCUGCCUUCCACUCUGGGAUAACUCCGGGAAACCGGGGCUAAUACCGGAUACUUUCAACUGGCGGCAUCGCCGGUUGAAGAAAGUUUUUCGGUGGAAGAUGACCUCGCGGCCUAUCAGCUUGUUGCUGAGGUAAAGGCUCACCAAGGCGACGACGGGUAGCCGGCCUGAGAGGGCGACCGGCCACACUGGGACUGAGACACGGCCCAGACUCCUACGGGAGACAGCAGUGGGGAAUAUUGGGCAAUGGAGGAAACUCUGACCCAGCGACGCCGCGUGAGGGAUGAAGGCCUUCGGGUUGUAAACCUCUUUCAGCAGGGAAUAAGCGAAAGUGAAGGUACCUGCAGAAGAAGCACCGGCUAACUAUGUGCCAGCAGCCGCCGUAA